GGGAGUUUAGCUCAGCUGGUUCAGNNAGAGCAUCUGCCUUACAAGCAGAGGGUCGGCGGUUCGAUCCCGUCAACUCCCA
This 79-nucleotide transfer RNA is filed under the name Bacteroidota bacterium. RNAcentral describes it as "Bacteroidetes bacterium (activated sludge metagenome) tRNA-Val". It matches the Rfam family "tRNA". Rfam says of the family: Transfer RNA (tRNA) molecules are approximately 80 nucleotides in length. Their secondary structure includes four short double-helical elements and three loops (D, anti-codon, and T loops). Lineage: Bacteria; Pseudomonadati; Bacteroidota. The record is from RNAcentral.